AUUGAACGCUGGCGGAAUGCUUUACACAUGCAAGUCGAACGGCAGCACGGACUUCGGUCUGGUGGCGAGUGGCGAACGGGUGAGUAAUGUAUCGGAACGUGCCAAGUCGUGGGGGAUAACGUAGUGAAAAUUACGCUAAUACCGCAUACGAUCUAUGGAUGAAAGCGGGGAUCGCCAGACCUCGCGCGAUUGGAGCGGCCGAUAUCAGAUUAGGUAGUUGGUGGGGUAAAGGCCCACCAAGCCAACGAUCUGUAGCUGGUCUGAGAGGACGACCAGCCACACUGGAACUGAGACACGGUCCAGACUCCUACGGGAGGCAGCAGUGGGGAAUUUUGGACAAUGGGCGAAAGCCUGAUCCAGCCAUUCCGCGUGCAGGAUGAAGGCCCUCGGGUUGUAAACUGCUUUUGUACAGAACGAAAAGGUUUCUACUAAUACUAGGAGCUCAUGACGGUACUGUAAGAAUAAGCACCGGCUAACUACGUGCCAGCAGCCGCAGUAA
Molecule: ribosomal RNA, 499 nt
Filed under: uncultured bacterium
Lineage: Bacteria
Description: partial 16S ribosomal RNA
Rfam family: Bacterial small subunit ribosomal RNA
Source: RNAcentral